This 1430-nucleotide ribosomal RNA is filed under the name uncultured organism. RNAcentral describes it as "16S ribosomal RNA". It matches the Rfam family "Bacterial small subunit ribosomal RNA". The record is from RNAcentral.
CAGGCUUAACACAUGCAAGUCGAGGGGCAGCAUGGUCUUAGCUUGCUAAGGCCGAUGGCGACCGGCGCACGGGUGAGUAACACGUAUCCAACCUGCCGUCUACUCUUGGACAGCCUUCUGAAAGGAAGAUUAAUACAAGAUGGCAUCAUGAGUCCGCAUGUUCACAUGAUUAAAGGUAUUCCGGUAGACGAUGGGGAUGCGUUCCAUUAGAUAGUAGGCGGGGUAACGGCCCACCUAGUCUUCGAUGGAUAGGGGUUCUGAGAGGAAGGUCCCCCACAUUGGAACUGAGACACGGUCCAAACUCCUACGGGAGGCAGCAGUGAGGAAUAUUGGUCAAUGGGCGAGAGCCUGAACCAGCCAAGUAGCGUGAAGGAUGACUGCCCUAUGGGUUGUAAACUUCUUUUAUAAAGGAAUAAAGUCGGGUAUGGAUACCCGUUUGCAUGUACUUUAUGAAUAAGGAUCGGCUAACUCCGUGCCAGCAGCCGCGGUAAUACGGAGGAUCCGAGCGUUAUCCGGAUUUAUUGGGUUUAAAGGGAGCGUAGAUGGAUGUUUAAGUCAGUUGUGAAAGUUUGCGGCUCAACCGUAAAAUUGCAGUUGAUACUGGAUAUCUUGAGUGCAGUUGAGGCAGGCGGAAUUCGUGGUGUAGCGGUGAAAUGCUUAGAUAUCACGAAGAACUCCGAUUGCGAAGGCGGCCUGCUAAGCUGCAACUGACAUUGAGGCUCGAAAGUGUGGGUAUCAAACAGGAUUAGAUACCCUGGUAGUCCACACGGUAAACGAUGAAUACUCGCUGUUUGCGAUAUACUGCAAGCGGCCAAGCGAAAGCGUUAAGUAUUCCACCUGGGGAGUACGCCGGCAACGGUGAAACUCAAAGGAAUUGACGGGGGCCCGCACAAGCGGAGGAACAUGUGGUUUAAUUCGAUGAUACGCGAGGAACCUUACCCGGGCUUAAAUUGCAGAUGAAUUACGGUGAAAGCCGUAAGCCGCAAGGCAUCUGUGAAGGUGCUGCAUGGUUGUCGUCAGCUCGUGCCGUGAGGUGUCGGCUUAAGUGCCAUAACGAGCGCAACCCUUGUUGUCAGUUACUAACAGGUUCCGCUGAGGACUCUGACAAGACUGCCAUCGUAAGAUGUGAGGAAGGUGGGGAUGACGUCAAAUCAGCACGGCCCUUACGUCCGGGGCUACACACGUGUUACAAUGGGGGGUACAGAGGGCCGCUACCACGCGAGUGGAUGCCAAUCCCCAAAACCUCUCUCAGUUCGGACUGGAGUCUGCAACCCGACUCCACGAAGCUGGAUUCGCUAGUAAUCGCGCAUCAGCCACGGCGCGGUGAAUACGUUCCCGGGCCUUGUACACACCGCCCGUCAAGCCAUGGGAGCCGGGGGUACCUGAAGUGCGUAACCGCGAGGAGCGCCCUAGGGUAAAACUGGUGACUG